GCCCUUCCUACGGGAGGCAGCAGUGGGGAAUUUUGGACAAUGGGGGCAACCCUGAUCCAGCCAUCCCGCGUGUGCGAUGAAGGCCUUCGGGUUGUAAAGCACUUUUGGCAGGGAAGAAAAGCCGCGGGUUAAUACCCUGCGGUGCUGACGGUACCUGCAGAAUAAGCACCGGCUAACUACGUGCCAGCAGCCGCGGUAAUAAGGGCA
This 207-nucleotide ribosomal RNA is filed under the name uncultured bacterium. RNAcentral describes it as "partial 16S ribosomal RNA". It matches the Rfam family "Bacterial small subunit ribosomal RNA", at positions 332 to 534 of the family's 1533-position model. The record is from RNAcentral.